Molecule: transfer RNA, 73 nt
Filed under: Vibrio phage 1.081.O._10N.286.52.C2
Lineage: Duplodnaviria; Heunggongvirae; Uroviricota; Caudoviricetes; Pantevenvirales; Straboviridae
Description: tRNA-Gly
Source: RNAcentral
AGCAGGAGACGAGAUUCGAACUCGCGGCUUCCGACGUGGAAGGACGGCACUCUACCAAUUGAGUUACACCUGC